Molecule: ribosomal RNA, 550 nt
Filed under: uncultured archaeon
Lineage: Archaea
Description: bacterial SSU rRNA
Rfam family: Archaeal small subunit ribosomal RNA
Source: RNAcentral
GAUGAUAUCUGAGACACGAUAUCAGGCCCUACGGGGCGCAGCAGGCGCGAAAACUUCGCAAUGUGCGAAAGCACGACGAGGGAAUCCCAAGUGCUUGCACGUAAGUGUAAGCUGUUUCUCUGUUUAAAACGCAGAGAGAGUAAGGGCUGGGUAAGACGGGUGCCAGCCGCCGCGGUAAUACCUGCAGCUCAAGUGGUGGCCGUUAUUAUUGGGCCUAAAACGUCCGUAGCCGGUUUAUUAAAUGCCUGGGUAAAUCGGACCGCUUAACGGUUCGAAUUCCGGGUAGACUGAUAAACUUGAGACCGGGAGAAGUUAGAGGUACUCCUGGGGUAGAGGUGAAAUUCUGUAAUCCUAGGGGGACCACCAGUGGCGAAAGCGUCUAACUAGAACGGGUCUGACGGUGAGGGACGAAGCCCUGGGGCGCAAACGGGAUUAGAUACCCCGGUAGUCCAGGGUGUAAACGCUGCUUGCUUGAUGUUAGUCGGGCUCCGAGCCCGAUUAGUGUCGGAGAGAAGUUGUUAAGCAAGCUGCCUGGGAAGUACGGUCGCAA